CAGGCUUAACACAUGCAAGUCGAGGGGCAGCAUUUUAGUUUGCUUGCAAACUGAAGAUGGCGACCGGCGCACGGGUGAGUAACACGUAUCCAACCUGCCGAUAACUCCGGAAUAGCCUUUCGAAAGAAAGAUUAAUACCGGAUAGCAUACGAAUAUCGCAUGAUAUUUUUAUUAAAGAAUUUCGGUUAUCGAUGGGGAUGCGUUCCAUUAGUUUGUUGGCGGGGUAACGGCCCACCAAGACUACGAUGGAUAGGGGUUCUGAGAGGAAGGUCCCCCACAUUGGAACUGAGACACGGUCCAAACUCCUACGGGAGGCAGCAGUGAGGAAUAUUGGUCAAUGGGCGAGAGCCUGAACCAGCCAAGUAGCGUGAAGGAUGAAGGCUCUAUGGGUCGUAAACUUCUUUUAUAUGGGAAUAAAGUUUUCCACGUGUGGAAUUUUGUAUGUACCAUAUGAAUAAGGAUCGGCUAACUCCGUGCCAGCAGCCGCGGUAAUACGGAGGAUCCGAGCGUUAUCCGGAUUUAUUGGGUUUAAAGGGAGCGUAGGUGGAUUGUUAAGUCAGUUGUGAAAGUUUGCGGCUCAACCGUAAAAUUGCAGUUGAAACUGGCAGUCUUGAGUACAGUAGAGGUGGGCGGAAUUCGUGGUGUAGCGGUGAAAUGCUUAGAUAUCACGAAGAACUCCGAUUGCGAAGGCAGCUCACUAGACUGUCACUGACACUGAUGCUCGAAAGUGUGGGUAUCAAACAGGAUUAGAUACCCUGGUAGUCCACACAGUAAACGAUGAAUACUCGCUGUUUGCGAUAUACAGUAAGCGGCCAAGCGAAAGCAUUAAGUAUUCCACCUGGGGAGUACGCCGGCAACGGUGAAACUCAAAGGAAUUGACGGGGGCCCGCACAAGCGGAGGAACAUGUGGUUUAAUUCGAUGAUACGCGAGGAACCUUACCCGGGCUUAAAUUGCAACAGAAUAUAUUGGAAACAGUAUAGCCGUAAGGCUGUUGUGAAGGUGCUGCAUGGUUGUCGUCAGCUCGUGCCGUGAGGUGUCGGCUUAAGUGCCAUAACGAGCGCAACCCUUAUCUUUAGUUACUAACAGGUCAUGCUGAGGACUCUAGAGAGACUGCCGUCGUAAGAUGUGAGGAAGGUGGGGAUGACGUCAAAUCAGCACGGCCCUUACGUCCGGGGCUACACACGUGUUACAAUGGGGGGUACAGAAGGCGGCUACCUGGUGACAGGAUGCUAAUCCCAAAAACCUCUCUCAGUUCGGAUCGAAGUCUGCAACCCGACUUCGUGAAGCUGGAUUCGCUAGUAAUCGCGCAUCAGCCAUGGCGCGGUGAAUACGUUCCCGGGCCUUGUACACACCGCCCGUCAAGCCAUGAAAGCCGGGGGUACCUGAAGUACGUAACCGCAAGGAGCGUCCUAGGGUAAAACUGGUAAUUG
This 1431-nucleotide ribosomal RNA is filed under the name uncultured organism. RNAcentral's name for it is "16S ribosomal RNA". It matches the Rfam family "Bacterial small subunit ribosomal RNA". The record is from RNAcentral.